GACGGAGGGGGCAAGCGUUGUUCGGAAUUAUUGGGCGUAAAGGGCUUGUAGGCGGACAGGUUAGUCUGGCGUGAAAUCUCCACCGCUCACCGGGGAGGGGCCGCUGGAAACUGCCUGUCUGGAGUUCGGUAGAGGGUCAUGGAAUUCCGCAUGUAGCGGUGGAAUGCGUAGAUAUGCGGAAGAACACCUGUGGCGAAGGCGGUGGCCUGGGCCGAAACUGACGCUGAGGAGCGAAAGCUAGGGGAGCAAACGGGAUUAGAUACCCCGGUAGUCCUAGCCGUAAACGUUGGAUACUAGGUGUGGGGGGUAUCGACCCCUCCUGUGCCGCAGCUAACGCAUUAAGUAUCCCGCCUGGGGAGUACGGCCGCAAGGUUGAA
RNAcentral lists this ribosomal RNA (377 nucleotides) under uncultured bacterium. RNAcentral's name for it is "bacterial SSU rRNA". It matches the Rfam family "Bacterial small subunit ribosomal RNA", at positions 524 to 898 of the family's 1533-position model. The record is from RNAcentral.